This 148-nucleotide non-coding RNA is filed under the name Chlorocebus sabaeus (green monkey). Lineage: Eukaryota; Metazoa; Chordata; Mammalia; Primates; Cercopithecidae. The record is from Rfam by way of RNAcentral.
GCCGGGCGUGGUGAUGCACACCUGUAAUCCCAGCUACUCAGGAGGCUGAGUCAGGAGAAUUGCUUGAACCUGGGGGGCAGAGGUUGCAGUGACCCAAGAUGGCACCACUGCACUCCAGCCUGGGUAACAGAGUGAUACCCUGUCUCAA